CUUCUAUAGAAGUGCACAACAGACAGUGGGUGAUGUUAACAUUAUGUCACUUUCAUCAGAAAACAUGUUUUCUGUAGCGCUGUUACUGUUCUUAGCAGCUGGAUGUGACACAGUCAGCUCCUUUGACUCUGCAGCCAGGUCAGCAUCUGACCAUCACCUGUCAGGUCUCUUAUUCUGUUAGCAGCUGGUACACAGCUAUAUUGUCACAUAACUGCUGUCAACAACUGAAAAGUGAAAAAUUAAAAAUCUGAUCUCACCUUUA
Molecule: long non-coding RNA, 262 nt
Organism: Oreochromis niloticus (Nile tilapia)
Lineage: Eukaryota; Metazoa; Chordata; Actinopteri; Cichliformes; Cichlidae
Exons: 2
Source: RefSeq, a predicted model, not a curated record